Molecule: non-coding RNA, 28 nt
Filed under: Cricetulus griseus (Chinese hamster)
Lineage: Eukaryota; Metazoa; Chordata; Mammalia; Rodentia; Cricetidae
Source: RNAcentral
CAAUUAAAUUGGAAUAUUCAAGGCUGGU